CCGAAGAGUUACUCGCAAGUCAACAGCAUAGCAUAGUGGGCUCAGUGAUGGGCUACGGAGUAGAACCGCUCGGGUUCGAGGCACACAGGUACAUAAGGAUUUUUCCAGAAAUGCAAACAUAGAAAUACGGCGUAAGAAGAAGAAGGCUGGCCCCCAUCAGACACGAGAGUGGGGGGUGACAGUAGGGCACCCAGGGAAAGCAAAACAUCAAAGAUGGGCGCAAAUAUGGGAGAACGCAUUUUUUGCUCACGCGCGAGCGCCGCGCAACGCAGACAACCUUUUUCCGACUGCCCCAAAAUGCUGCACCUCGUUUACAUCCUGUCCACCCCCAGAAAUAAUGGGAUCCCCUUUUUCAGUGUCGCCUCCAGGCGACGGGAUGCGAUCACGCUGGACAGGUCAGUUCAACUGUUAUCAUCAAUAGAAC
RNAcentral lists this long non-coding RNA (424 nucleotides) under Androctonus crassicauda. Lineage: Eukaryota; Metazoa; Arthropoda; Arachnida; Scorpiones; Buthidae. The record is from RNAcentral.